GACGAACGCUGGCGGCGUGCUUAACACAUGCAAGUCGAACGAAGUGGCGAACGGGUGAGUCACGCGUAUUCAACCUGCCCUUCAGAGGGGGACCCCAGUUGGAAACGACCGCUAAUACCGCAUACUUAAGGAGGUGAUCGCGUCUGAUUGGCUAGUGGGAAGGGUAACGGCCCACCAAGGCGAUGAUCAGUAGCCGGUCUGAGAGGAUGAACGGCCACAGUGGGACUGAGACACGGCCCAGACUCCUACGGGAGGCAGCAGUGGGGAAUCUUCCGCAAUGGACGAAAGUCUGACGGAGCAACGCCGCGUGAGUGAUGACGGCCUUCGGGUUGUAAAGCUCUGUUAAUCGGGACGCGGUACCGGAAUAGAAAGCCACGGCUAACUACGUGCCAGCAGCCGCGGUAAUUC
RNAcentral lists this ribosomal RNA (408 nucleotides) under uncultured bacterium. Its description in RNAcentral is "partial 16S ribosomal RNA". It matches the Rfam family "Bacterial small subunit ribosomal RNA", at positions 28 to 526 of the family's 1533-position model. The record is from RNAcentral.